GACGAACCGUCCAAACGUUAUUCGGAAUUACUGGGCUUAAAGGGCGCGUAGGCGGCCGAGCGGGUCGCGGGUGAAAUCCUCCAGCUUAACUGGAGAACUGCCCUCGAUACCACUUCGGCUCGAGGAAGGAAGGGGCACUUGGAACUGUCGGUGGAGCGGUGAAAUGCGUUGAUAUCGACAGGAACGCCGAUGGCGAAAGCAGAGUGCUGGUCCCUUUCUGACGCUGAGGCGCGAAAGCCAGGGGAGCAAACGGG
Molecule: ribosomal RNA, 254 nt
Filed under: uncultured bacterium
Lineage: Bacteria
Description: partial 16S ribosomal RNA
Rfam family: Bacterial small subunit ribosomal RNA
Source: RNAcentral